UGCAUAUCCCCAAAAGCGGAGGAAAAGAAACUAACAAGGAUUCCCCUAGUAACUGCGAGUGAAGCGGGAAAAGCUCAAAUUUAAAAUCUGGUGGUCUUUGGCCAUCCGAGUUGUAAUCUAGAGAAGUGUCAUCCGCGCUGGACCGUGUACAAGUCCCCUGGAAUGGGGCGUCAUAGAGGGUGAGAAUCCCGUCUUUGACACGGACUACCAGGGCUUUGUGAUGCACUCUCAAAGAGUCGAGUUGUUUGGGAAUGCAGCUCAAAAUGGGUGGUAAAUUCCAUCUAAAGCUAAAUAUUGGCGAGAGACCGAUAGCGAACAAGUACCGUGAGGGAAAGAUGAAAAGAACUUUGGAAAGAGAGUUAAACAGUACGUGAAAUUGUUGAAAGGGAAACGCUUGAAGUCAGUCGCGUCAGCCAGGGAUCAACCUUACUCUUUUGUGUGGUGUACUUCCUGGUUGAUGGGUCAGCAUCAGUUUUGGUUGCUGGAUAAAGGUCAGAGAAAUGUGGCACCUCCGGGUGUGUUAUAGUCUCUGGUCAGAUACAGUGACUGGGACUGAGGAACUCAGCUCCGCAAGGAUGUCUUAGGAUGCUGGCAAAAUGGCUUUAAUCGACCCGUCUUGAAACACGGCAAAGGGGAGUCA
RNAcentral lists this ribosomal RNA (640 nucleotides) under Pleurotus australis. RNAcentral describes it as "LSU rRNA". It matches the Rfam family "Eukaryotic large subunit ribosomal RNA", at positions 37 to 664 of the family's 3401-position model. Lineage: Eukaryota; Fungi; Basidiomycota; Agaricomycetes; Agaricales; Pleurotaceae. The record is from RNAcentral.